UAUUUUAAUAGCUUAUAUAGAGCAUAAUGUUGAAGACAUUAGUGAAGAUAAUUCUUUAAGAUAU
RNAcentral lists this transfer RNA (64 nucleotides) under Platerodrilus sp. UPOL VP2301. RNAcentral's name for it is "tRNA-Phe". Lineage: Eukaryota; Metazoa; Arthropoda; Insecta; Coleoptera; Lycidae. The record is from RNAcentral.